UGUGCAAUGAAAGAGUUGAUAUGGAGUUGAGAUUUGUGCGUGAAGAAAAUGGAGUGAAAUGAGGCUCAUAAGAAGAAAAAAAUUAUAUAUAUAUAUAUAUGUGUGUGUGUGUGUGUGUGUGUGUGUGUGGGGGGGGGGGGGGGGGGGCUUGAUCUAUGGCUCAUCGCAAAAAGAGUCCGAGCUGGAAUGAGCCAAGUUCGUAAGCAACUCGGCUUGUUUACCACCCUACUUUCACACAA
RNAcentral lists this small RNA (239 nucleotides) under Olea europaea subsp. europaea. The record is from RNAcentral. Lineage: Eukaryota; Viridiplantae; Streptophyta; Magnoliopsida; Lamiales; Oleaceae.